Molecule: small nuclear RNA, 164 nt
Organism: Cavia porcellus (domestic guinea pig)
Lineage: Eukaryota; Metazoa; Chordata; Mammalia; Rodentia; Caviidae
Gene: U1
Rfam family: U1 spliceosomal RNA
About the family: U1 is a small nuclear RNA (snRNA) component of the spliceosome (involved in pre-mRNA splicing). Its 5' end forms complementary base pairs with the 5' splice junction, thus defining the 5' donor site of an intron. There are significant differences in sequence and secondary structure between metazoan and yeast U1 snRNAs, the latter being much longer (568 nucleotides as compared to 164 nucleotides in human).
Source: Ensembl
GUACUAACCUGACAGGAGAGACACCAUGAUCAUGAAGGUGGUUUCCCCAGGGUAAGGCUUGUCCUUUGCACUGCAGGUGUGCUGACUCCUGCGAUUUCCCCAAAUAUGGGACACUCAACUGUAUAAUUUUUGAUAGUGGGGGACUAAGUUCACGCUUGCCCCUG